UGCCUCCCCGCCCCACCCCUGGCUUUCUCCUGGUCAGCUGCAAGGGAAGGUGGGGGAGAGCGGAGCCCCUUCUCUUUCUCCUCCUCCCGAGAGGGCUCUCCAGAUUUCGGCCAGGUUGUAAGGGGGCAUUGGGCCCAGAUGUGCAGGGCUGGCCUACCUCCAGAUGCGCGUGGCUAAAGUGCAUCUUCUUAAAGAUGUCACCAGGCAGGAGCCCAGGCUCUGCUCUGGCCUGCUUGAGGUGAGACUGGACAAUGGUGUGGCGCUCACACGUUCUCAGAAAUAGAGCCUAUUAGCUUCCUCUAUUUUUAAAGCCCAGAAUCCUAAUAUGGCACAAUCUGGGGCUGAUGGAGACCUCGGUUGUGUUGUGCUCUGUGCUUGGCGAGAGAGCAUCCAGCAUUGCUAGGGGAGAGUCCAGUGAGAGCCCGGAUCUAGAGGACAGAUGUGGGGAAAGCAGAUGUGAGGGCUGUUUGGCCCCAGAGCCGAACUGAGGCUCCACUUCCUCUGUGGAUCCCCGAUGGGAGCGCGAGUCGGAUUUCCCGGGUGUGGGGGUUCUGGCAAGGAGACACGUCUGGGGCCAGGGGGCGGGCGGGCGGCCAGCUGCGCGCAUCUGGAUGUGCGUCCUAUACCUCGGCCCAGGCUCGGGCCCAAAACCCUACCCCCAGGUUUUUUUUGGUUUUGGCCUUUUUUUUUUUUUUUUUUUUGGAGAGUGUGGAAAGGUCUGGGCUUUCGCGCGGAGACUCCUGGUUGACUGGGAAGCCUUUGCCCUUUGGCUAAUAGAAGCCGAGCGGGCGGGAAGGAAGGAACAAAGCUUGCCGGGCGGAGGAAGCGCAGAGAGCUGCUCCAUUGUUCUCCGAGCUUGAAGAGUCUAUGCAAAAAACCCGGAGCGGGCCCCGGAACUGCGCUUGCUUUCCCCGGAGAGCCCUCUCCCUGAGAGGGAUAGAUCCGGGAUGUGCAGGACUCAGGGCUGCCGCGCCUCGGGGGCAGGCACGGGUCGUGCCGGGACCAUGGGAGGGCGGCGGCAAGGCCUGGAGCCCGAACGGGCCGCCUUGGCUCCGCGGACUUGUUGCGGUGGCUGGGAUGUGGGUCCUCCGGCGCCGAGGGACCCGAGCUUCCCGGGUACCAGGCAGGCUGCCCGCCCCGCUGGGGGCUGGGAAGGGGCGUGUCCGUGCGCGUGUGAAGGGGCGGGGCCGACGCGGGCUGCGGUCCCGGCUGGACGCGGUGGGGCGGGUGGGGGUGGAUGGAGGGUGGGGGUGUUCGACUGGCAGCUCUGGAGAAGACUGGUUGGAUCUGCUCUUGUCACCCCAGGAUCCCCAGACCCCGGAGUGGCCAGCAUGAGGAACCGCUGACCUGGGGCAAGAGGCCUUUGGAGCUUUGGAUUGGGGGCCUCUCAUAGCAGGCCGCGUGUGGGCUUUGCAGGGACAGUCAGGAGACAGGACAAGGGCAAAGAGGGGAAGAGCAGCCUUUUCUCUCGGAGAGCCCCUCCAGAAGGCCUCUGCAGGGACCAGUGGGGAUUGGGGGGUUGCGGGGGGACAGAAGCUGACAGGGCAGCCUCUCCCUGCAAAGGGAGUGUGCCACCCCUGUGCUGAGUGCCCUCCUCAAGGAGCUUAUAGUCUAAUGGGGUGAGACAGAUAAUGAAGAAAUAAAGUAAUUCCAGACACAGAGAGGGCUAUGGAGAAAAUGAAAGGGGACCCUGUGUUAGAGGAGAACUGGAAAGGAGAGGUCUUUAAGCUUAAGGAGGUGAUAAUUGAAUUGUGACUGAGGCCAGAGGAGGCACCAGGCAGGCAGACUGCGGGAGGAACAUUCCCCGGGCACUAAGAGCACUAAGAAGCGGGUGUGGAUGGGGUGUGGAUGGUUCUCAGGAGAGGAAUUGAGUAUCUGACUGUCUCCUGGGGAGAGGAAGGGAGUGUCAGGGACUCAGAAAAGUAGAGGGCACAGCUCUCCUUUCAAGGUCAGGGCUUCACCUGUUUGGAAUGACUUAGCCAAUCUGGGCUGUCCCCAGGCCUGCAAGACCCAGCACCGUCCCAGGACCUGGCUGCCUGGUUGAAGCUCUCUUAGUUGCUCUUCAAGAGGCAGUAACCUCAGAAACCCUGACAGAUAGUUCUAGAGCUGACUGGGGAUGGGGAUGGAGGGCAGGAGGGGGGCGGGAGCUGAGCUGGGGGCCCUUACUCCUGUUCAGCAGUUGUCAUUGCCAAAGCACACUGGUGCUGCAGCCUUUCAGCAACCUUGGAGAUAAGGAGAGAACACCUCCCUCCCCACCACUUCCCAGUUGGGGAAAUGCAGAGUAAAAAGCCUCUAGGGCCUUAGAGCCACCUCUAAGUUAGUGAUGGAAGGCAGGUUCUCCUUGUGUUCCUAAGCACUGGCUUCAUUUGGGAGGCCCGAUGAAGAAAGGGGAGUCAGCAGGUCAAGAGGGGCCUGACCAAAGCAAGUGUCUCUGGACAUAGGCCACCAACCUGCCCUGAUGACCCCAUAGAGGGGCUGAGAGGCUAAGAUCUCUGGUAGGCGGAGAGAGGUGGAAAGUCUGGCAAUCAUGCUGGACUGUUUAGGGCUUCGAGAACCAAGGUGGGGGUGGGGCAUGCAGGUAGGUCCUAGAGGGACAGUGCUUGGCCUCACAGGGUGGUGGGGAGGGGAGGGAGUGGGAGCUGCUGUCUUUAGGUAAAACUUCUCUUCUGUGUGAAGGUGGGAGUUGGGGUGGAGGAUAGACGGGCGUGUUUGGGGGCCAGGGGACAAGAGAGCUGGAUCAGUCUCUCCAAGCCUAUGAAGGUGUUCCAGGUUGUCAGGACUGACCUUCACUGGAGAGCAGGGUGGCUCCUGAGGAGAAGAACGGCUGUCUUGAUGCCUCAGGAUGUUGAGUAAAAACGGAGUAUUUGUUCCCUACCUGAGAGGCUGAGGGUCAAAGGUUACACACUCCUUAGCACCAUCCCAGACCCAAAAAGCGGCCAAGACCCAAUUUCUUGGGGAGGGUGGGGAGGGAAGGAGGAGUGAGGCAGCCCCAAAUAAGAGCCUUUCUGGAAUAAAAGAGAAGAGCUGAAAUUUGAUCAUUCUCUUCCCAGAAAUCAGCUGGAACCCAGAUGGUCUAGGCAGGCUCCCUACCCCUUCCUUUGCUUUGGAAGCUGCCAAAUAACUAGGGUCCCACUGGGGAACCCUGGAAACUUGGAAGGCUGAGGGGUGAGUGCCCAGGGGAAAAUGGGCCAAUCCCAGCAAUCAGAUGCCUUUGGACCCUGGCAUGAUAAUCUACAUCAAGCAGUUUGGCUCUGAGAGGAAAUGUCACCAGGCCUGGAACUGUCAGAGGCUGCAGGGUCAGAGGCUGCAAUCUUGAGUUCCCUGUCCAAAAGUUCUAAGCUCUGUGACCUCCCCUUGGAACUUGGUUUCCCCAUUUGUGAAUGAAAGAGACCCCACCCCCAUGACUCUUCCCUACUUACAGGGCUGGGGAGGGGGUCCAGAUUAAGGUGAUCAGACCUUGAAAAUGUCCCAGGCCAUUUCAAUACACAAUACCAUCCCAGACCCCACUCUUCCUGCCUUAUCAGCCCUGGACCUAAGGAUCUCAAAACAAAAUCAGUCUGUUGAGCCCCCACACAGUCAGGUUUCCUUUCUUCAACCCUCUAGGCAAAGGGACAAAAUCAGACAGCUAAGGCAGCCCAAGGUCAGGGUGUAAAGAAGCCGAGGCCUCUGGAGUUCCUAGCCCCACUUCCUCAUGGUGUCUGGACCCUUGUGAGGGUUGCCAUGACAACAGUUAGGCCCUCAGAGGCUGAGGGCAAACAGAAGAGGGGAAGGAAGUCCAAGAAGCCAUCCAUCUCUAAGCCAGUUGGCUGAUGUGGGUUUUGGAGGCGUGGUGAGGGUGGAGUUUAGUCUAGAGAAUGUGUUCUGGGACCUUUGAAUAGGGGGAGGGCAGAAAUUACUUCCUUUUUCUUCCGUGCACUCGGUGGGGGUCCGGGUGGGAAGAGGAGUUACAGUGAGUUCUCCAGAAAAGAACUGAUGCCCAGAGGAGACAGGUGAUAUGUGCAGGCUCACCUAGCACCCUCAGAUCGGAGGCUCCAUGCCCAGAGCCACUCCUGAAGCCUGCCGGGGAGUUCCCCAGAGGCCUAGCUGGAGCACGAGGACACAACUCACUAGCCUUCCUUGGGCACAGCAGUUUGCCAGAGAGUGCUUGUAAAGUCACAGGCCGAAGGAAGGACUGUGGCAAGGUGUGGCGGUCUGCAGGUGAGCAUGUAUGUGGAGAAGAAAUUGGCAUAGAACCUUCCAGCUGUGAGGCCUCCUGCCUUCCUCAAGCUUAGCACUAAGGGGAACAUUUCUUUACUCACUGCUCGGAACUUUUCCUUCCCAGUCUAGGCUUUAGUGCUUUUGAGGGGCCCCAGUCGGGUCCUGGUCCUAGCCAUUGGGCAUUGCCUUGUUCACGCUGCUGUGGCCAAGGCUCUGCUUCUGAGAGUAAAGGAUGGAUGGAUGAGUAGGUCUUGGGGGUAGUUCCUCUGCUCUGGGGAGACAGGCAGAUGGAGCACAAGUGCCUGAAGCGUAAACCAACCCAGAGAGAUGCCCUUCAUCGUCACUGGUGGCUCCAGCCCCAGGCCAUCGGCCCCUUCUAGACGUGGACUGAAUGGGUAACAGGGCCAAGUCACCUAGAAUCCUGGGGUGUUUCCUGAUGCUUCCCGUUUGUUCUGCCCCCCACGCCCCACACACCUCUGACCCCCCUCCUGUGUCCUGUCCCCAACCCUAGGCUGCCAGCCCCAGAUCCUUUCUCCUGCUAACUUCCAGGCUCCCCUUCUCUACAACCGUCCCUCCACACACACAUACCCAUGCCUCACAGCCUCUGACCCCAAGGACUGAAGGGGCAGGUUGCCUUCUGGGGUUCAAGGGAGAACCAGUCCUGCAUUGAGAAGGCUGAGCAGAGCCCCCAGGGCUCCUAACUGCAGCUCAGCCCCCUGCCACCGCUCCACCUCUGCAGACAGUGCCGUGUCUCCUCAUACAGCCAGGGAGAGAAAAAUCCCCUUCUCUGUGCAGAAUCCUCCUCCUCCCCCACCCUUCCCUGGGAUUUCACAGAACCACAGAAUGGAAAUUGUCUAGUUGAGCCACCCACCCAAAGCUGAAGCUAAUCCCUCUAUAGCAUCAUAGGCAGGUGGGUGUUCUGUUUACACACUCCUAGUGACAGAGGGCUCACUACCUUAUUUUCCUGGAAAGUGCUCAUUUUUGGAGAGCCUGUUGAGCUAAGCGUCUUCUUUCUGAGGAUUUCCACCCAUGGGUCCAAACCUACUGCCUAGAUCUUUCCAGGUUAAGCUAGCCUGCCUUUCAUAGCUCUCUUAUAUUUGAGGUCAGACACAUAGCCACAUUCCACCGCAUCUUUUCUCCCGUUGUCACCUCCUUUAAUUUUCCGUUCAUUUGUCUUUCCCUUUGGAAUAAGACUUGCUAGGAAGAGGAGCCGAUCCGUCACCCUGAUUCCUGGGCCCAGCAGAGUCCUGCUCCCCACCUGGACCCCACCCCCGCCUGCUCAUAAUAUCUGCAUCUGGGCACCUGGCUGUGUGUUCUCUGGGUCCAACCUGGCCUCCUCCCCACGGCCUUCUCCCGCUGCCUGGAAACCCUGUGCUAGCCAGCCAGCAGUGGGGAAACGGACGCCACAUGUUUCUCAUUUGUGCUGGCUGACCUCCUCCCACACCCUGUUUGGAUUACCCAGAUGCGUUUGAAGUCCCUGGAGCCUGCAGCCUUCCCUCUCGUGCACAGGAAGGGCCGGGGGCCAGGCACAGCUCACUGGCCCUCAGUGGGCAUGCUCUGUCCAUAGAAGCCCCUGGAACACUGGGUCAGCCCUCAAAGUGGACUUCAUCUCCGACACCUUCCCUCCCAGUUGCUUUUGGGGACUGACCCUCCUGGAGGGAGACAAAACCAGAGCCCCCUGGGUUCAGUUCUGCCUCGUCCAGUGCACACAGGUCUCUUUUCCUUCUGACCAGCAGGGAUCAAGGUGCAGACUGGGAAGGUGCCCCAGGAGCUGCUUCCGUCUCCCAACCGGAGGCUGAGGAAGGAUUAGUGUUGUGCCAAGGGUGUGUCCAGCAUGUUGGCGGCCGUGGGCUACGUGCGGGCACAACACGCGUGCCUGGAAUAAGUGGGAUGGGUCCGGGCUUUUCGUCUUUCCUCAGCACCUAUGCCUCUGGCAGGAGAAGGAGCAAACUGCAAGGGUGGGAAGCUACGCGGAGGAGGAUGGAGACCUAGCGGGAGCGGAGCCCCCAGACUCCUCAGGCCUGUUGUAGUGCUGCAGUGGGGGUGGGAGAGCACGGAGCACAGCCCAUCCACGGGCUACAGGUUCACCCCUGAGAGCUUUGGCUCCAGCAGGUUCCAGCUCUUGCUGCCAGUGCUGUCGUACAUCAUGCAUUUGACACACAGUUCUCCAAGUCCGCUCCAGCCAAACCUCAGCAAGGCGGCCAGGGCUCUGCAGGGGCUGGGCCUUGGCCUGGGCCAUGGGCAAGUCUAUUUUGGACUUCUCAAUGACACAUUUCAGGGCCACUGGAGCGGGCGGGUUCCCCGCAGCCCUCUAAUUCCUGGGCCGCGGCUCUUGCUGUGGACUUGUCAGGGCGCUCACUCUUUUGCGCUGGGGAUGUAGAAACGGAGAGCAAGCCCGGCCCGGCAGACCCGCGGUGUGCUGUCCCAUGCUCCCAGUGUUGGUCCCCAGGGUCGUCUUGCAGGCUAUCUGGUCAGGGUGUUGCCAUUAGGUGUGAUCUGGUCUGGGAGGUGGAAUGGUGUCAUAAGCCGCAGGUGUUAACGUGGAGAGCCAGAUUGGAAACGAGGACCUUGGGCUGGGUAGGAGGGUAGCACAUGUUGAGGAGCGAGACUUAGGUGUGUGUGCAGAGGUCCUGGGUUCAGAGGGGGUGUGGCAUAUGGCCGGUAACCCUAAGAUGAGCUUGGGAGUCAGGGUGUGAACACGGGGUGUGCAGGGGAUUGCAUAUGUCAUGUGGAGCACUGACUCUCCUCCAGCAGAUAUGCACGUGCUCAAGGUACAUUUGUGUGCACGUGUUCUGUGCAUGCAAGGACUGGGCAGGUUUGAAAGAGUCUGAAAUAUGACCAGGGUGGAACGAUUUCCCUCAAAUAGACCCCCAGGCGGAGGCCGCAGGGGUUCGGUCUCCCUGGCUUCUCUCCCAGAAAAGCAGUAUGAGUGCUGGUGAGUCCUCGGACUCUCAGGACACAGGCUCCCUUUUGCCCUUGGUGACUAGCUAAACAGGCCGUUCCCUUUGGGGGAAGCUGGCAGCCACCCAGGAGGCCUUGGCUUUUCUCUGCAGGCUUCAUAAGCUGCCACGGGGCCUAGGACUCCCACCAUCCCACUCUGAGGAGCUGCCUCCUGGGAACUCUGACACCUGACUCUCCUAGGGGGGCGCGGAAAGUAGGCCCGGAGAAUACAAUAAUCUAAUGAUAAUAACAAACACGUAUCAAUCACUUGGUGUAGAAGAGGCAUUGUUCUUGUUCCUUAUGUGUAACAAGUCAUUUAAUGUUCACGGUAAUCCUGCGAUCUGUAGGUAAUCUGCCCAAAGCUAGUAGAGCAAGUGAGCAGCAGAGCCAGGAUUUGAACUUACCCCCUAUGCCAUGCUGCUUCCAGGAGCCUCAAGACUCCUCCCACGCCCUGGAAGUUGAGUUUCUUUGCACUGAGUUCAGAAUCAAUGUGUCAAGCAGUCUCUGUGGGCAAAGCACUGUGCCCCUGACAUUGAGGCUUUGGGCCCUGCUUGCUAGCUUCUGACAGGCUAGAGUGGAGGUGAGAAGGAUCGCGCUCCUUCCUGUACCAGGCGAUGGUAGCAGGUGCUGCGACAAAGUUGGGCAAGGCCAAGGAGCAGGAGUCGGUACGUGGGGCAAGUGUGCCCAUGCGUGCAGUGGGUGAGGAGGGGAAGCUCUGGAGAAGUGAUGUGGUUUUGAAAGAAGGUUGAAAUCCCAGCCACAGAAGUGGAAGGGACUGGAAAAGGAAGGGGGGAAGUAAGUGAUGGGCUUCAUCAUGGGGCCCUGCCUGCUGGAAGAGAGGUGGAACAGGAAGCGACAGAGAGAAUGAGACUGGACAGACAGGUCCGGAGGGGACAUGAUGGAACCGAGUGGAGCGCACUGGGGCUUGACCGUAGGCUCUGGGCAACAUUUAAACAGAGGAGAGCAGUCAAGGUUUGCCCCAAAGGAUCCCCAACAGAAUCCUGUGCUCACUGGUCCUUUGGAGAGGUUACUGUCUGAUGAGAUCAGUCAGCCCAGGGCCUCUCAAGCUCUGCAUCUGUUUGCUUGAGUGAGGAUUGCCCUUGCUGCCCCUGCAGAGUCCAGAGGCACGGAGAGAGAGGACGUCUUGGUGACCAGAGAUUGUCCCUUUGAUUAGCAGCAGCUCUGAUUAGGCCUGAGGUACGGCUCGCUCUCUGCCUUGCCCGGGGAUCGGCACUGCCCCACCCCAGGCCUGGGGAGUGCCCACGGCCAGUACGAACCAGACGGUGCACGACGGAACCAACACACAAACCGAUCAGACAGUAGACAGAGGAGAAUUUCGUUCGCAUACAAUUCAGAGACCAGGCAUAAAGAGGGUGUGGGCCACAUCUCAGCUCCUAGCUCACUUGUCCCGUCCAGGAUGCCUUCUGAGGGAGUUGGAAGUUGGGGAGCUAUUUAAAGGAAUCAGAAACACUUGGCACCGGGGGAGAUGCAUUCCCGUCAUCCAGCUUUCCUUGGAUGGAGUAGGAGGACUGGAUUGGGACUAGCUGGCUAGGCGCCCUCGGAACAGAUGGUCCUUUGGGGACUGAAGGGAACAGCCCUCCACCCUGGGGUAGAAGGACCCACAGGGAAUGAGGGUGCCCUGGUGAAGGAUUAGGGACUUCUCCUCCACUCAAAUCUUUAUCUUCCUCUCUUCUCCGCGAUGCCACCGGACUGUCCCAGUGGCCGUGCCCCGGAUGUUGCCACGGGGUUCUGUUGUUACAGGAGCUAGGGUGUUUUGUCAUAGAGGACUUGGCUUUUUCCUGGCAUCUCUGGGUAUCCCCGGGAGGUGUGGUCCUGGAAUUCAGGGGUUGCCUUAGCAACAGUAGAUACUAUCCUACAUGGAUCCUCCCUGGCCUGGAUGGUGAUGUGGUGGCCAGGGGUUGCCGCGGUGCUCAGUGCACGGCUUCCCUGUCAUGCUGCUCCUUUGCUGCAGCUCCAGAGACGGGGGUCAUGGCAGCAGAGAAGGCAGGAGUGCCCACCUGGGGCAGCGAGACCGGCAGGUGCUACAACUGCUGCUCCCACUGUCGACAAGGACAGCAGCAACCAUGAGGGGCGGCCUUCCUCAGUGCAGGGACAAGACUCCGUCCCUGUGCUGCCUGACACCCGCCCAGCCGGUGGGGUUUGCUCACAGCAGGCAGUGCCGAGCGGCUGCCCCUGUUCUUUCUGCCACUGGGAAGGCACUCCUGGGCUCCCAGGAGCUCAGGGCAAGGCCUCCUUGCUUGGCGUCUCCACUCAGCUUGUAGUUUUGGGGCUGCUGAGGGCCUGGCUGCAGGGUUUGGGCUCCCCAGAAGGAAGCACUCAGUGCCCGAGACUUUAAUUGAGGCCUCUGACUCUGCAGUCCAGAAGGGCCGGCCGUCAUGAAACGUCAUAGAGGACAGGGAUGCAUCAAGAUUCUGCCGUCUGCCCUUGGCCUGGAGCCCUGUGUAUCUCUGGGACCUUGACUGCAUGGGGUAAUAGAAAGUUGUCGUGCAUGUGAGGAUUCAAAUAAACUCUGUUUCCUACCA
Molecule: long non-coding RNA, 9680 nt
Organism: Felis catus (domestic cat)
Lineage: Eukaryota; Metazoa; Chordata; Mammalia; Carnivora; Felidae
Exons: 2
Source: RefSeq, a predicted model, not a curated record